GUGGGGAAUAUUGCGCAAUGGGGGAAACCCUGACGCAGCGACGCCGCGUGAGCGAAGAAGGCCUUAGGGUUGUAAAGCUCUGUUUUAAGGGACGAAUGUCGUGGGGAGUAAUAUGCUCUGCGAAUGACGGUACCUUAAGAGGAAGCCCCGGCUAACUACGUGCCAGCAGCCGCGGUAAGACGUAGGGGGCGAGCGUUGUCCGGAAUUACUGGGCGUAAAGAGCACGUAGGCGGGAACUUAAGUCAGGUGUGAAAGACCGGGGCUCAACUCCGGGGUUGCACUUGAAACUGGGUUUCUUGAGGGCAGGAGAGGAAAGCAGAAUUCCUGGUGUAGCGGUGAAAUGCGUAGAAAUCAGGAGGAAUACCAGUGGCGAAGGCGGCUUUCUGGACUGACCCUGACGCUGAGGUGCGAAAGCGUGGGUAGCAAACAGGAUUAGAAACCCCAGUAGUCC
RNAcentral lists this ribosomal RNA (451 nucleotides) under uncultured bacterium. RNAcentral's name for it is "partial 16S ribosomal RNA". It matches the Rfam family "Bacterial small subunit ribosomal RNA", at positions 354 to 796 of the family's 1533-position model. The record is from RNAcentral.